GACGAACGCUGGCGGCGUGCUUAACACAUGCAAGUCGAACGGAAAGGCCCUGCUUUUGUGGGGUGCUCGAGUGGCGAACGGGUGAGUAGCACGUGAGUAACCUGCCCUUGACUUUGGGAUAACUUCAGGAAACUGGGGCUAAUACCGGAUAGGAGCUCCUGCUGCAUGGUGGGGGUUGGAAAGUUUCGGCGGUUGGGGAUGGACUCGCGGCUUAUCAGCUUGUUGGUGGGGUAGUGGCUUACCAAGGCUUUGACGGGUAGCCGGCCUGAGAGGGUGACCGGCAACAUUGGGACUGAGAUACGGCCCAGACUCCUACGGGAGGCAGCAGUGGGGAAUAUUGCACAAUGGGCGGAAGCCUGAUGCAGCAACGCGGCGUGCGGGAUGACGGCCUUCGGGUUGUAAACCGCUUUCGCCUGUGACGAAGCGUGAGUGACGGUAAUGGGUAAAGAAGCACCGGCUAACUACGU
RNAcentral lists this ribosomal RNA (467 nucleotides) under uncultured bacterium. RNAcentral's name for it is "partial 16S ribosomal RNA". It matches the Rfam family "Bacterial small subunit ribosomal RNA", at positions 28 to 506 of the family's 1533-position model. The record is from RNAcentral.